GCUGCCCUGUGAAGAAGGUGCCUGCUUCUCUUUUGCCUUCUACCAUGAUUGUAAGUUUCCUGAGGCCUCCCUAGCAAUGCAGAACUGUGCUAUCGUUGCUGCUAGUUAUUCAAUCAACCUAAAAGCAGCCCCACUGAAACAAAGCCAGAGGACUGGAAAUGCAGCUCUUAAAGAGUGUUGCCAUCUUGUUGUGAUGUAUUAUUCCUUCUGCAAGCUGCCUCUGAGGUUCCAUGUCAAUGAGGUUUAUCUCCACGGACAUGUGGGAUGAGAGACGAAGCAUACAAAGUGGUGUGUGCCAAAACUUACUUAUGGUCAUCAGUUCUUAGAAAAUAAGGUAAGGCCAAGCACGGUGGCUUACAUCUGUAAUCCCAGCACUUUGGGAAGCUGAGGCACACGAAUCACUUGACUCAGGAGUUCAAGACAAGCCUGGGAAACCUGGUGAAACCGUUUCUAACAAAAAUGCAAAAAAUUAGCUGGGCAUGAUGGUGUGUGCCUAUGGUCCCAGCUACUCAGGAGGCUGAGGCAAGAGGAUCACUUGAGCCCAAGAAGCAGAGGUUGCAGUGACCUGAGAUCAUGCAACAGCACUCCAGCCUGGCUGACAGAGACCCCAUCUC
This 614-nucleotide long non-coding RNA is filed under the name Homo sapiens (human). Its description in RNAcentral is "HSALNT0141455". Lineage: Eukaryota; Metazoa; Chordata; Mammalia; Primates; Hominidae. The record is from RNAcentral.